RNAcentral lists this small RNA (160 nucleotides) under Arabidopsis thaliana (thale cress). RNAcentral's name for it is "ATSL226710". The record is from RNAcentral. Lineage: Eukaryota; Viridiplantae; Streptophyta; Magnoliopsida; Brassicales; Brassicaceae.
UCUUGUGAUUGAUUUUUGCAUGUUGUUAUGUAGUUGCACCUACUUUUACUAUUGUUUACACUAAUUAUGACAUGAUCAUCAUCGCUGUUAUACAAGAUCCAUAAAAAGUAAAUUAAAUUAAAAAUCCAUUAAUAUAUUCCGCGGUUUUGCAAAUAUCUUA